ACUCAGGGGCUCCGCCACUGAUUGUCCAAACGCAAUUCUUGUAAGAGUCUGCGGCCAACCGAGAAUUGUGGCUGGACAUCUGUGGCUGAGCUUCGGG
This is a microRNA precursor of Cebus imitator (Panamanian white-faced capuchin), 97 nucleotides long. Ensembl annotates it as microRNA 219a-2. Its record names the gene MIR219A2. The record is from Ensembl. NCBI's taxonomy places the organism in Eukaryota, Metazoa, Chordata, Mammalia, Primates, Cebidae.